AGAGGGGCAGAGACUCCAGACUAUACAGCUGCCCAGCACCCAGGUGCUCCCUUGCGUGAGAGGAGGUGACUGUUGCCAUCACAGGGCCGACUGAAGCAGACAACAUGGACAGGGAGAUCUGCGACCGUGGGAACAGGACUUCCCAAAUGUCACGGUGGGUCCAGGAAGCACAAGCAGUGAGAUUCCUUAUACGGAGUCUGAAGAAACAGAUGUUUUUCUCCUGACCAGCGCCUUUUAGGGAAAAGCAAGUAGAAGCAUGAACUGGGCUGCCUCUUCUACUCUCGUUAAGUCUCAGUGCUGGACUUAGGUUUACUUUUUGUUUGUUGCCAUGCUGAGGAUGGAACCCAGGCCUUUCCCAUGCUAGGCAAGAGCUCUACCAACAGUAUGUCCCCAGCCAAGGACUUAGGAACAGAAGCUCUGCCUUGUCUGGUUUUGCAGCUAUUCUCUCAUUCUCCCCUCUACCCUUAGGGCCAGUGGAAGACCUGCCAGCAGGAAGGCCCCAUGACCUGGCUGGCUAGAGACAACGCACCCUCUGACCCCACGAGGCAGCUGCACAAGCCCAAGGAACCUGCCAGCUCAGCCUUGAGACAGGAUUUCAGGUCCUGGCCUCACCAGCCUCCACAGGCAGGCAGAGCAAGCUGUCUUUUGGCUACCUUCCCUGCUGGAAGACAUGCAGCUAUAAUUGUUCAGUGCUCCACAGCCAACAGUACCAGAGAUCAGCAAGCCACAGACCAACCCUCAAAAAUGCACGGAGGAGGGCCAGGGACUGAGCUCAGUGGCACCGCUCCUGCCUUACAAGAACAAGGUCCUGAGUUCACUACCCAGUACCAAAAAAAAACAAAAAAAAAAUGCAUAGAGGGAGACCCCUACCAUUUCCCGGUGGAAUCACCCUGUGGGAAGCCUAAAGCUCUGUGACAGAGCCCUAAGCAAGACCUCAGCGCUCCCUACACAGUCCUUACUAGAAAUGGGAAAGACUUUCUUUCCCAUUCAUCUUGGGGCCACCAUGAAUCUUAAGCUCCAAGGGAGAAGAAUCUCCUUUAUUAAUGAGGGCUCUUCCCCAUGGCAUCAAACUCAUAAAUAAAUCCACACUAAGCACCUCCAGAGAACAUGCAGCUUUGACAGAAGCAAAGUGAGUUAAGUGGGUGGACACCAGCUUGCUGAAACCUAAACCCAGCAAAGGGGCAGCAGCUCCACCUGCUGGGCCCUUUCCCACCAUCACCAGGAAUCAGUUCCUUCUAAAUACAGG
This 1246-nucleotide long non-coding RNA is filed under the name Fukomys damarensis (Damara mole-rat). RNAcentral describes it as "lncRNA (ENSFDAG00000024542.1)". Lineage: Eukaryota; Metazoa; Chordata; Mammalia; Rodentia; Bathyergidae. The record is from RNAcentral.